GGGAGGCAGCAGUGGGGAAUAUUGGUCAAUGGGCGCAAGCCUGAACCAGCCAUCCCGCGUGAAGGAAGAAGGCGCUAUGCGUUGUAAACUUCUUUUCCAGGGGAAGAAAAUUUUGUACGUGUACAGAAUUGACGGUACCCUGGGAAUAAGCAUCGGCUAACUCCGUGCCAGCAGCCGCGGUAAUACGGAGGAUGCGAGCGUUAUCCGGAUUUAUUGGGUUUAAAGGGUGCGUAGGCGGAUCAAUAAGUCAGUGGUGAAACCCUGCAGCUUAACUGUAGACUUGCCAUUGAUACUGUUGGUCUUGAGUGUGGUCAAGGUAGGCGGAAUGUGUAAUGUAGCGGUGAAAUGCUUAGAUAUUACACAGAACACCGAUUGCGAAGGCAGCUUGCUGGGCCAUUACUGACGCUGAUGCACGAAAGCGUGGGGAUCGAACAGGAUUAGAUACCCCGGU
RNAcentral lists this ribosomal RNA (451 nucleotides) under uncultured bacterium. RNAcentral's name for it is "bacterial SSU rRNA". It matches the Rfam family "Bacterial small subunit ribosomal RNA", at positions 343 to 791 of the family's 1533-position model. The record is from RNAcentral.